RNAcentral lists this ribosomal RNA (387 nucleotides) under uncultured bacterium. RNAcentral describes it as "bacterial SSU rRNA". It matches the Rfam family "Bacterial small subunit ribosomal RNA", at positions 1000 to 1388 of the family's 1533-position model. The record is from RNAcentral.
CAGUAAAGUGGGAAGUUCCUUCGGGAACAGGAACACAGGUGGUGCAUGGUUGUCGUCAGCUCGUGUCGUGAGAUGUUGGGUUAAGUCCCGCAACGAGCGCAACCCUUAUUGUUAGUUGGUACCAUUAAGUUGACCACUCUAGCGAGACUGCCCGGGUUAACCGGGAGGAAGGUGGGGAUGACGUCAAAUCAUCAUGCCCCUUAUGUCUAGGGCUACACACGUGCUACAAUGGCAAGUACAAAGAGAAGCAAUACUGUGAAGUGGAGCAAAACUCAAAAACUUGUCUCAGUUCGGAUUGUAGGCUGAAACUCGCCUACAUGAAGCUGGAGUUGCUAGUAAUCGCGAAUCAGAAUGUCGCGGUGAAUACGUUCCCCGGGUCUUGUACAC